GAUGCUUUUGGACCAUAACUCGUAGCAGCCCUAGCCAAUAUACCCAACAGCGAAAAACACAUAGAGUGGGCAUGGCAGAGAAACAUUGUCCACCCCUGAAUUAAAGACGCGCUUUAGUCACACAGACCCAAUAUGUGCCUCACUUCAAACAUAGGUCAUGCUUUCGCGAAGGCUUUCACGGCCAGGAUCUAAUGGUUGUUGUGGGUUUUUCGUGCCCUUUGGCCAUGUUCUGAAGGUUGUUCUUCCUGACGUUUCGCUAGUCUCUGUGGCCGGCAUCUUCAGAGGACUGGAAUAGGAACUCUGUCCACAGAGANNNNNNNNNNNNNNNNNNNNNNNNNNNNNNNNNNNNNNNNNNNNNNNNNNNNNNNNNNNCAACAACCAAUAGGUCAUGCUUUCUUAUUUGUAAAAAUGGAAGGAGAGUGAAAAGCGUUGAGGCAGACUUCUAGAAAUGAAGAAUUGACUCAAAGACAGAGGCCCCAGACUUCUGUUAAAACUGAGGACCAGGCUUGUUUUCUUCCUAUCAAAGCAAAAGUGCCCGACAGAAAGAGAAACAUUAAUAAAGUUAAGUGACAUAACUAGUCCAGCUGAGAGAAGGAGGACUUGGGGACUUUCCAAUUUGCCUGAAGAAGCGUUAACGAAGGAACUCUGGAGAGGCAUCACUCAUUUUUAUUUCUCAUUUGACAUGGCUUCUCCACUCUUCUGCUGCUGGAGUGCUGAGAUAAAACAACUCAUUGAAAGCCAAAGGAACAACAGCUUCGAUCUACUCCAGAGGCAGCUGGCUCUGCCAUUUCUUCCCUCAGCCUUUUAAAUCCAAGUGCUUAUGCUCAAGUUCACAGAAACGGAGCUGUGGGUAUUUUCGGAGCUAAGUUUGCAAGACAGUGGACUAAUGCCAGACUGAGCUCCUGUUUUAGGUGACAAAUUGUCAAUUUCACAUUCCUAAGUGCUUCUGAUUAUUCCAGUUCUCCUGGGAUGGUCACUUUCCAAGUCCUGAGAAUGAUUCUCUACCUAGGAGAUGACUACCUUGGCAAAUAAUAUGGAAAUUGCUCCAGGAUUGGGACAGUCAUACUUGCAUUGUUUUCCAUUGACUACAUGACAUAUUUGUUGAAGUGUCUCUCCCUCAGAAUGUUCUUCACAGGCCUUGCUUCUCCCAGUCACUGUGCUGAGAGAGGCUAAGAAGAUGGUCAUCAGGCAUCGUGGUUCUCGGCCAUGGUUCCCACCUUAUGGAAUGGGUUCCUAGUGGAGGUUGUCAGACAUCUUCCCUCCCUUCUUUUAAGAGGAUGCUUGAGACACAAGUGUUUUGAGAAGCAUUUUAGGGCAUCAUCCCUUACAUUAUUUUACAAGUGUUCCCAUAGUGCGUCAUCACUUGCGGGUCUUAUUUAGUUAUUGCAUUUGUGUACUUAAAAUUGUCUUUUGUUGAUCUGUUGAUGUUUGGGGUCAUUGUUAUUAUUUGUAAAUUGCUUAGAGUAGUGUUAUACAUUGUCAGUGACAGACAGACAGACAGACAGACAGACAGACAGACAGACAUCUCUUUCUUGGGUCACAUCUUAAUGUGGUGAAAGCGUUUGAGUGUGUCAGUGAAGCUGAGAGCAAUGCCGUCAGGAAAUCACACUCCAUUAUGAGCCUGGACUCCUAGCAGAGUCACCCAUGACAGAAUGGUCAUGGCUGAGACAUCAGACUAAGAUGCAUCCACCCUCUUCAAGAAAGCUACUGGGCAGCAGUGGUAGUUGAAGGAGAAAGCAAUGGUAGUGACACUCAAGCUAACUUUUGUUAGUACUGGGAGAAUGUGGCAAUGUUCAAACCAAUGCUGAACUUUUCUUACCAUGAAAAUCCUCUGAUGAGACAGUCAAAAAUGAAAUAAGAGAUAAUGCUGGAAGAUGAGACUUCCAAUUCAGAAAGCACUCAAUUGGCUACUGGAGAUAAGUUGCUGGUUUGGAUUUGAUUAAUUAUUUAUUACUUAUUAUUUGGAUAUAUUAUAUAUAUACUUAUUCUGUUAUGGCUCUCCAGUUUGGUUCUAGUUAUUGACAGAGGUCAGCUGUGGGUUGCCAUUUUUGUUUUUUCUCUAUUCUUCUCUCUGUUCAUAUCAUUUGAUUAGGUUACUGAGAAUAUUUCUUUGAAUAUUUUUAAAUUUCAUUGUAUGGUUUGUUUUAUGUUUUGUAAACCACCAUAAGUAGUGAUUUCAAUAAGCUGAGUCAUCUAUAAGCCUUAUAAAUGUCAUAUUUUAAAUAAAAUGAAAUAUUAAAAAGACA
Long non-coding RNA from Pogona vitticeps (central bearded dragon), 2246 nucleotides. Lineage: Eukaryota; Metazoa; Chordata; Lepidosauria; Squamata; Agamidae. The record is from Ensembl.